AAUGAACGUUGGCGGCGUGGAUUAGGCAUGCAAGUCGAGCGAGAACCCGCAAGGGGGACAGCGGCAAACGGGGUAGUAACGGGUAGGUGACGUACCCUCCGGUCGGGGAUAGCCACGGGAAACUGUGGGUAAUACCCGAUAACCUUUCAGAGCAUAACGGCUUUGAGAGCAAAGGUGUGAUUCCACCGGGGGAGCGGCCUGCUUCGUAUUAGCUAGUUGGUGAGGUAACGGCUCACCAAGGCGACGAUGCGUAGGGGGUGUGAGAGCAUGACCCCCACCACUGGGACUGAGAUACUGCCCAGACACCUACGGGUGGCUGCAGUCGAGAAUCUUCGGCAAUGGGCGCAAGCCUGACCGAGCGACGCCGCGUGUGGGAUGAAGGCCCUUGGGUUGUAAACCACUGUCAGAGGGGAUGAAGUGCCAGCCAGCAAUCUGGUUGGUUUGACAUAGCUUCAGAGGAAGCACGGGCUAAGUUCGUGCCAGCAGCCGCGGUAAUACGAACUGUGCGAACGUUAUUCGGAAUCACUGGGCUUACAGGGUGCGUAGGCGGCUUGCUAAGUAGGGUGUGAAAGCCCCCGGCUUAACCGGGGAAUGGCGCCCUAAACUGGCGAGCUGGAGUGAGAUAGGGGUGUGCGGAACUUCCGGUGGAGCGGUGAAAUGCGUUGAUAUCAUCUGGAAUACCGG
RNAcentral lists this ribosomal RNA (684 nucleotides) under uncultured Planctomycetota bacterium. RNAcentral's name for it is "bacterial SSU rRNA". It matches the Rfam family "Bacterial small subunit ribosomal RNA", at positions 28 to 712 of the family's 1533-position model. Lineage: Bacteria; Pseudomonadati; Planctomycetota. The record is from RNAcentral.